UACUUGGUGCUUCUGAAAUUCUCACCUCAGAACGUGACUGUUGGCAAGCAGUGUUCUCAAAUAAUGCUUUAAAGUUCCAAAAUCCAGGCUGCUUUGGAAUAUUGUGGACCUCAGAGGGGCCUUCACAGAUAAAGUAAGGCAGAACAUUUUUCUAAAGCAUCGACUUGAAUAAUUUAGCUUCAGAACCAACAAGGGACCACCACAGGGAUUUUACUGAGUGGAAGGCUUAAAUUCAUGUCUACAACCCCUGAAGCCCAGCAUUCGGAGCCUCAGCCCACCAUUCUUCAUUUCUGAUUUCUCUCCUCUGAGGAGAUAAGGACGACCCAAGGCCUCUCGGACCUUAUAUUUAGCUGAAGAGAGGAAGUAUGUAAGAGUCCAGAAGACAUCAUGAAUAUGCAAAACCUACGUGCAAACCUGGAAGCCCAAAGCUGAGGGAAAAAGUAACAUCGCAUUUAAUCCUCAUGAAAAUGCUAUGUGACCGGCAUUCUCAGACCCAUUUUACAGAUGAGUGAAAUGAAGUCCAGAAAAGGUAGCUAACUUCCUCAUUAUCGCAAAGCUAGUAAGCAGCACCUGAGCCCAAGUCUG
Molecule: long non-coding RNA, 585 nt
Filed under: Felis catus (domestic cat)
Lineage: Eukaryota; Metazoa; Chordata; Mammalia; Carnivora; Felidae
Description: lncRNA (ENSFCAG00000050892.1)
Source: RNAcentral